UGGGGAAUUUUGGACAAUGGGCGAAAGCCUGAUCCAGCAAUGCCGCGUGUGUGAAGAAGGCCUUCGGGUUGUAAAGCACUUUUGUCCGGAAAGAAAUCCUCUGGGUUAAUACCUCGGGGGGAUGACGGUACCGGAAGAAUAAGCACCGGCUAACUACGUGCCAGCAGCCGCGGUAAUACGUAGGGUGCAAGCGUUAAUCGGAAUUACUGGGCGUAAAGCGUGCGCAGGCGGUUUUGUAAGACGGAUGUGAAAUCCCCGGGCUUAACCUGGGAACUGCAUCGNNGACUGCAAAGGCUAGAGUAUGGCAGAGGGGGGUAGGAAUUCCACGUGUAGCAGUGAAAUGCGUAGAAGAUGUGGAGGAAUACCGAUGGCGAAGGCAGCCCCCUGGGCCAAUACUGACGCUCAUGCACGAAAGCGUGGGGAGCAAAACAGGAUUAGAUACCCUGGUAGUCCACGCCCUAAAACGAUGUCAACUAGUUGUUA
This 483-nucleotide ribosomal RNA is filed under the name uncultured bacterium. RNAcentral's name for it is "partial 16S ribosomal RNA". It matches the Rfam family "Bacterial small subunit ribosomal RNA", at positions 355 to 825 of the family's 1533-position model. The record is from RNAcentral.